Molecule: unclassified non-coding RNA, 329 nt
Filed under: soil metagenome
Description: partial contains 5.8S ribosomal RNA, internal transcribed spacer 2, and large subunit ribosomal RNA
Rfam family: 5.8S ribosomal RNA (bases 1-120)
Source: RNAcentral
GAUGAAGAACGCAGCGAAAUGCGAUAAGUAGUGUGAAUUGCAGAAUUCAGUGAAUCAUCGAAUCUUUGAACGCACAUUGCGCCCCUUGGUAUCCCGAGGGGCAUGCCUGUUCGAGCGUCAUUUCACCACUCAAGCCUGGCUUGGUGUUGGGCGACGUCCUCUUUGGGGACGCGCCUCGAAACGCUCGGCGGCGUGGCACCGGCUUUAAGCGUAGCAGAAUCUUUCGCUUUGGAAGUCGGGGCCCCGUCUGCCGGAAGACCUGCUCGCAAGGUUGACCUCGGAUCAGGCAGGGAUACCCGCUGAAAUUAAGCAUAUCAAUAAGCGGAGGA